AACGAACGCUGGCGGCAUGCCUAACACAUGCAAGUCGAACGAGACCUUCGGGUCUAGUGGCGCACGGGUGCGUAACGCGUGGGAACCUGCCUUUAGGUUCGGAAUAACUCAGAGAAAUUUGAGCUAAUACCGGAUGAUGUCUUCGGACCAAAGAUUUAUCGCCUUAGAUGGGCCCGCGUUGGGUUAGCUAGUUGGUGGGGUAAAGGCCUACCAAGGCGACGAUCCAUAGCUGGUCUGAGAGGAUGAUCAGCCACACUGGGACUGAGACACGGCCCAGACUCCUACGGGAGGCAGCAGUGGGGAAUAUUGGACAAUGGGCGAAAGCCUGAUCCAGCAAUGCCGCGUGAGUGAUGAAGGCCUUAGGGUUGUAAAGCUCUUUUACCCGAGAUGAUAAUGACAGUAUCGGGAGAAUAAGCUCCGGCUAACUCCGUG
RNAcentral lists this ribosomal RNA (432 nucleotides) under uncultured bacterium. RNAcentral's name for it is "partial 16S ribosomal RNA". It matches the Rfam family "Bacterial small subunit ribosomal RNA", at positions 29 to 507 of the family's 1533-position model. The record is from RNAcentral.